RNAcentral lists this ribosomal RNA (484 nucleotides) under Margarya monodi. RNAcentral describes it as "partial 16S ribosomal RNA". It matches the Rfam family "Bacterial large subunit ribosomal RNA", at positions 1861 to 2608 of the family's 2925-position model. The record is from RNAcentral. Lineage: Eukaryota; Metazoa; Mollusca; Gastropoda; Architaenioglossa; Viviparidae.
GCCCGGUGAAUAUUUAUUUAAACGGCCGCGGUAUUUUGACCGUGCAAAGGUAGCAUAAUCAGUUGUCUUAUAAUUGAAGACUGGAAUGAAUGGUUAAACGAAAUUAGAGCUGUUUCAUUUGUAUUUAUUAGAAAUUGGCUUUUAAAUGAAGAGAUUUAAAUUUGAUUAAGGGACAAGAAGACCCUAUUGAGCUUUAAAUAAUUUUAAGGGUUAAAGUUAUUAUAAAGAUCUAUGAUCUUUAGUAUUUUUUUAGUUGGGGCGACUAAGGAACAGGCGAAGCUUCCUUUAUUUAUUUAAUUGAUAGAUUUUGAUCCUGUAUUACUGAUUAAGAGACAUAGUUACCAUAGGGAUAACAGCAUAAUCUUCUUGGAGAGUUCUUAUUAAAAAGGGGGGUUGUGACCUCGAUGUUGGACUAAAAUAUCCUAAGGGUGUAGAAGCUUUUAAGGGUUGGUCUGUUCGACCAUUAAAAUUUUACGUGAUCUGA